AGGACGAACGCUGGCGGCGUGCUUAACACAUGCAAGUCGAGCGGAAAGGCCCGUUCGGGGUACUCGAGCGGCGAACGGGUGAGUAACACGUGAGGAACCUGCCCUUAGCUCUGGGAUAGCUCCGGGAAACCGGGAUUAAUACCGGAUACGACCACAGCCGGCCUCGGCAGUGGUGGAAAGAUUUAUCGGCUAGGGAUGGUCUCGCGGCCUAUCAGCUUGUUGGUGAGGUAACGGCUCACCAAGGCGACGACGGGUAGCCGGCCUGAGAGGGCGACCGGCCACACUGGGACUGAGACACGGCCCAGACUCCUACGGGAGGCAGCAGUGGGGAAUAUUGCGCAAUGGGCGAAAGCCUGACGCAGCAACGCCGCGUGCGGGAUGGAAGGCCUUCGGUUGUAACCGACUUUCUAGCAGGGACGAAGCGAAAGUGACGGUACCUGCAGAAGAAGCGCCGGCUAACUACGCGCCAGCAGCCGC
This 477-nucleotide ribosomal RNA is filed under the name uncultured bacterium. RNAcentral's name for it is "SSU rRNA". It matches the Rfam family "Bacterial small subunit ribosomal RNA", at positions 26 to 518 of the family's 1533-position model. The record is from RNAcentral.